AGCGAACGCUGGCGGCAGGCCUAACACAUGCAAGUCGAACGAACCUUUCGGGGUUAGUGGCGGACGGGUGAGUAACCCGUGGGAACGUGCCCUUAGGUUCGGAAUAACUCAGGGAAACUUGUGCUAAUACCGAAUGUGCCCUUCGGGGGAAAGAUUAAUCGCCUUUAGAGCGGCCCGCGUCUGAUUAGCUAGUUGGUUGAGGUAAUGGCUCACCAAGGCGACGAUCAGUAGCUGGUCUGAGAGGAUGAUCAGCCACAUUGGGACUGAGACACGGCCCAAACUCCUACGGGAGGCAGCAGUGGGGAAUCUUGCGCAAUGGGCGAAAGCCUGACGCAGCCAUGCCGCGUGAAUGAUGAAGGUCUUAGGAUUGUAAAAUUCUUUCACCGGGGACGAUAAUGACGGUACCCGGAGAAGAAGCCCCGGCUAACUUCGUG
RNAcentral lists this ribosomal RNA (434 nucleotides) under uncultured bacterium. Its description in RNAcentral is "partial 16S ribosomal RNA". It matches the Rfam family "Bacterial small subunit ribosomal RNA", at positions 29 to 507 of the family's 1533-position model. The record is from RNAcentral.